Long non-coding RNA from Anguilla anguilla (European eel), 318 nucleotides. RefSeq lists it as uncharacterized. The record is from RefSeq and is a predicted model, not a curated record. NCBI's taxonomy places the organism in Eukaryota, Metazoa, Chordata, Actinopteri, Anguilliformes, Anguillidae. The transcript is spliced from 3 exons.
GCACGCAGAGCGGAGCUCACACCUUCAAGCUUGGAGUUGUACAGCCUGCUGUGAGGGCUAAAAAUAUUGGUUGCUCUGUAAGAAAGCUUGCCUAGUUUGUGUUCCUGUAUUUACAAUUUGGGUGCAUACAAGAGUGGGCCAUAUGCCAUCAGAAGUCCAGGGCAGUGGAUGAUGAAGCACUUUUUCAGCAUAUGCUUCCCUGGGAAUACCUGCAACAGAGCAAGAAAGACAACAAUGUUCUCCAGAAUCAAUGUCACACGGCACAUGGACACAUGGAGCCAACGGUGCGGCGCACUGGGCGGGGCUACUGAAUGUUGG